GCAAUCCUAGAAAAAAAAAAUUAGCUACUCAUGAUUGAAAAGACAAAUAACAUUAUAUAUAAUUCAACCAUUGAGAGUAAAAAGAAAAAUAAAAGCUAAGGAAGAAACAAAAUAAAUAUUUGCAACCUUGCUCUCCAAGUUUCAAUCUCCACUUCUAGUUUCUUGAAUCUCCAAAAGUUUUCUCCCCUAAUGUCUCUUAAAAAUAUCCUAUUUAUACUAAUAAACUUAACCUAUAGUUCCCUAAGUUGAUUUAUGAUUUAGUUGGGCUUAAAAGUGUAAUGAGAGGCCCAAACAUCAAUUGUUAGUCUUUAAAAUUGCCAUUUCCACCACAAUACUUCUAGCCAUUUUCCUAUGCAAUUUUCUUUAUCUUCG
RNAcentral lists this long non-coding RNA (372 nucleotides) under Theobroma cacao (cacao). RNAcentral's name for it is "long non-coding RNA (TCAC_LNC001895)". Lineage: Eukaryota; Viridiplantae; Streptophyta; Magnoliopsida; Malvales; Malvaceae. The record is from RNAcentral.